Molecule: ribosomal RNA, 1361 nt
Filed under: uncultured bacterium
Lineage: Bacteria
Description: bacterial SSU rRNA
Rfam family: Bacterial small subunit ribosomal RNA
Source: RNAcentral
AUUGAACGUUGGCGGCAGGCCUAACACAUGCAAGUCGAGCGGUAGCACAGAGAGCUUGCUCUCGGGUGACGAGCGGCGGACGGGUGAGUAAUGUCUGGGAAACUGCCUGAUGGAGGGGGAUAACUACUGGAAACGGUAGCUAAUACCGCAUAACGUCGCAAGACCAAAGUGGGGGACCUUCGGGCCUCAUGCCAUCAGAUGUGCCCAGAUGGGAUUAGCUAGUAGGUGGGGUAACGGCUCACCUAGGCGACGAUCCCUAGCUGGUCUGAGAGGAUGACCAGCCACACUGGAACUGAGACACGGUCCAGACUCCUACGGGAGGCAGCAGUGGGGAAUAUUGCACAAUGGGCGCAAGCCUGAUGCAGCCAUGCCGCGUGUGUGAAGAAGGCCUUCGGGUUGUAAAGCACUUUCAGCGGGGAGGAAGGCGUUAAGGUUAAUAACCUUGGCGAUUGACGUUACCCGCAGAAGAAGCACCGGCUAACUCCGUGCCAGCAGCCGCGGUAAUACGGAGGGUGCAAGCGUUAAUCGGAAUUACUGGGCGUAAAGCGCACGCAGGCGGUCUGUCAAGUCGGAUGUGAAAUCCCCGGGCUCAACCUGGGAACUGCAUUCGAAACUGGCAGGCUAGAGUCUUGUAGAGGGGGGUAGAAUUCCAGGUGUAGCGGUGAAAUGCGUAGAGAUCUGGAGGAAUACCGGUGGCGAAGGCGGCCCCCUGGACAAAGACUGACGCUCAGGUGCGAAAGCGUGGGGAGCAAACAGGAUUAGAUACCCUGGUAGUCCACGCCGUAAACGAUGUCGAUUUGGAGGUUGUGCCCUUGAGGCGUGGCUUCCGGAGCUAACGCGUUAAAUCGACCGCCUGGGGAGUACGGCCGCAAGGUUAAAACUCAAAUGAAUUGACGGGGGCCCGCACAAGCGGUGGAGCAUGUGGUUUAAUUCGAUGCAACGCGAAGAACCUUACCUGGUCUUGACAUCCACAGAACUUAGCAGAGAUGCUUUGGUGCCUUCGGGAACUGUGAGACAGGUGCUGCAUGGCUGUCGUCAGCUCGUGUUGUGAAAUGUUGGGUUAAGUCCCGCAACGAGCGCAACCCUUAUCCUUUGUUGCCAGCGGUCCGGCCGGGAACUCAAAGGAGACUGCCAGUGAUAAACUGGAGGAAGGUGGGGAUGACGUCAAGUCAUCAUGGCCCUUACGACCAGGGCUACACACGUGCUACAAUGGCAUAUACAAAGAGAAGCGACCUCGCGAGAGCAAGCGGACCUCAUAAAGUAUGUCGUAGUCCGGAUUGGAGUCUGCAACUCGACUCCAUGAAGUCGGAAUCGCUAGUAAUCGUAGAUCAGAAUGCUACGGUGAAUACGUUCCCGGGCCU